GACGAACGCUGGCGGCGUGCUUAACACAUGCAAGUCGAACGGUAAGGCCCUUCGGGGUACACGAGUGGCGAACGGGUGAGUAACACGUGGGUGAUCUGCCCUGCACUUCGGGAUAAGCCUGGGAAACUGGGUCUAAUACCGGAUAGGACUCCGGACUGCAUGGUCUGGGGUGGAAAGCUUUUGCGGUGUGGGAUGGGGCCGCGGCCUAUCAGCUUGUUGGUGGGGUGAUGGCCUACCAAGGCGACGACGGGUAGCCGGCCUGAGGGGGUGACCGGCCACACUGGGACUGAGAUACGGCCCAGACUCCUACGGGGAGCAGCAGUGGGGAAUAUUGCACAAUGGGCGCAAGCCUGAUGCAGCGACGCCGCGUGAGGGAUGACGGCCUUCGGGUUGUAAACCUCUUUCAGCAUCGACGAAGCGAAAGUGACGGUAGGUGCAGAAGAAGGACCGGCCAACUACGUGCCAGCAGCCGCAGUAA
This 478-nucleotide ribosomal RNA is filed under the name uncultured bacterium. Its description in RNAcentral is "partial 16S ribosomal RNA". It matches the Rfam family "Bacterial small subunit ribosomal RNA", at positions 28 to 523 of the family's 1533-position model. The record is from RNAcentral.